UACAUAGGUGUCAAGCGUUAUCCGGAUUUAUUGGGCGUAAAGAGUGCGCAGACGGUUUAAUAAGUUUAAGGUUAAAUAUCAAAGCUUAACUUUGGUUCGCCUUAAAAACUAUUUUUCUAGAGUGUAGUAGAAGUUGAUGGAAUUUCAUGUGUAGCGGUGAAAUGCGUAGAUAUAUGAAGGAACACCAGUGGCGAAAGCGAUCAACUAUGCUAUUACUGACGUUCAUGCACGAAAGCGUGGGGAGCAAAUAGG
RNAcentral lists this ribosomal RNA (252 nucleotides) under uncultured bacterium. Its description in RNAcentral is "partial 16S ribosomal RNA". It matches the Rfam family "Bacterial small subunit ribosomal RNA", at positions 524 to 776 of the family's 1533-position model. The record is from RNAcentral.